Molecule: RNA transcript, 1159 nt
Organism: Prionailurus viverrinus (fishing cat)
Lineage: Eukaryota; Metazoa; Chordata; Mammalia; Carnivora; Felidae
Gene: SMCO1
Gene name: single-pass membrane protein with coiled-coil domains 1
Exons: 3
Source: RefSeq, a predicted model, not a curated record
UUGUGAAGAAAUCGUAUUUUCUUAGGUUAAUUGAUUCAAAAGAGAUUCAUUUGAGCACCUGUUGAUAUGCCAGCACUGCCAUACACAUCUCAUCACAGAGUCUCUUGCUUGCCAAUGUCUUACUAAUACAGAGAUGGCUGACGUAACUCCCCUGCCAUUGAGAAAUGUGUAGUAAGAGUGGCCUGAGAACUAAGCUAUCCAGUAUAGUGCAGGCCCUAUUUCUAAAAUUCACUUCAAUGGAACUGAGUAUUUUAUAUAGCUACGUCAUGGAAGUACUCAUCUGCUUGCACACUCGUGUGCUUGAGAAGCUGCCAGACCUGAUUGAAAUUUAAUAAUACGGGAAUAUAUCAUAAAUGAUGCACAUGACAACUAAGCCCCAGGAUCGAGGCCGCCCUGCAGUGUUUUCCAAGCCCUUAUGAAACCGCUAUAGAAAUGUCAAAGUGGAUGGAAGUGAAGAUGGACACACUAAUGCAAGACUUGACUUUAAACGGAACACAUUUUUCUCUUCCUCAUUCUUGAAGACCCCCCCCCCCCCACUUCACUUGUUUUUCUGUAGAAUCUUUUGUUCCAAGAAGUGGAUAUCGAUGUGUUGACACUUAGUAAGGAGCCUUGGAUGGCCGAUGGCAGCACUAGUUAUGAGACGACCUUGAACACCUGUGGAACGUGGCGGGCAGCACGGAUCAGAUUCCUUUAGCUACUGCUUAGAUUCUGUAUUUUCUUGUCGAACCCCCUCAGCCUCUUGCCCUGGGCAGGCUUGCAGUCUUGGAGGCAUUAGCCUGCUGCCUCCUUUCCUAGGCAAAGUAAUCAUAUACAAACAUAAUUCGGCCCCAGAGCACAGAAGUCGGUUUUGGACAAUACUUAGAAGGGAAGGCAAUCUUAAAACAACCUCUCUGGGCCUCAGACUGAAGAAGGGGUGGGUUAGAGAAGGAAGUGUCAGUGCGUGUUAAAUUGGAGCAAAUCUGCGGAUUCUCUGACCACAAUCUUUCUAGGAGAUCAACCUCCGAGAUGCCUUCCUCAGAACUCUAGAAAGCGACCUAAGAGGCUUGGUACAAGGUAGAAACAGACAAGUAGUCUGAGAAGUAAAAUUUUAAAAAGAAGAGGGAAGAAUUUUUAAAAUUACUGUUGGGUCUUUCAUUUGUCUUGAGGUUUCCCUUUUUCU